GGGGGCGUGCCUAAUACAUGCAAGUAGAACGCUGAAGAGAGGAGCUUGCUCUUCUUGGAUGAGUUGCGAACGGGUGAGUAACGCGUAGGUAACCUGCCUUGUAGCGGGGGAUAACUAUUGGAAACGAUAGCUAAUACCGCAUAACAAUGGAUGACACAUGUCAUUUAUUUGAAAGGGGCAAUUGCUCCACUACAAGAUGGACCUGCGUUGUAUUAGCUAGUAGGUGAGGUAAUGGCUCACCUAGGCGACGAUACAUAGCCGACCUGAGAGGGUGAUCGGCCACACCGGGACUGAGGCACGGCCCAGACUCCUACGGGAGGCAGCAGUAGGGAAUCUUCGGCAAUGGGGGCAACCCUGACCGAGCAACGCCGCGUGAGUGAAGAAGGUUUUCGGAUCGUAAAGCUCUGUUGUAAGUCAAGAACGGGUGUGAGAGUGGAAAGUUCACACUGUGACGGUAGCUUACCAGAAAGGGACGGCUAACUACGUGCCAGCAGCCGCGGUAAUACGUAGGUCCCGAGCGUUGUCCGGAUUUAUUGGGCGUAAAGCGAGCGCAGGCGGUUUGAUAAGUCUGAAGUUAAAGGCUGUGGCUCAACCAUAGUUCGCUUUGGAAACUGUCAAACUUGAGUGCAGAAGGGGAGAGUGGAAUUCCAUGUGUAGCGGUGAAAUGCGUAGAUAUAUGGAGGAACACCGGUGGCGAAAGCGGCUCUCUGGUCUGUAACUGACGCUGAGGCUCGAAAGCGUGGGGAGCGAACAGGAUUAGAUACCCUGGUAGUCCACGCCGUAAACGAUGAGUGCAAGGUGUUGGAUCCUUUCCGGGGAUUCAGUGCCGCAGCUAAACGCAAUUAAGCACUCCGCCUGGGGAGUACGGCCGCAAGGUUGAAACUCAAAGGAAUUGACGGGGGGCCCGCACAAGCGAGUGGAGCAUGUGGUUUAAUUCGAAGCAACGCGAAGAACCUUUCCAGGUCUUGACAUCCCGAUGCUAUUUUCUAGAGAUAGAAAGUUACUUCGGUACAUCGGUGACAGGUGGUGCAUGGUUGUCGUCAGCUCGUGUCGU
This 1054-nucleotide ribosomal RNA is filed under the name uncultured bacterium. Its description in RNAcentral is "bacterial SSU rRNA". It matches the Rfam family "Bacterial small subunit ribosomal RNA", at positions 38 to 1068 of the family's 1533-position model. The record is from RNAcentral.